This 429-nucleotide ribosomal RNA is filed under the name Pseudomonadota bacterium. RNAcentral's name for it is "Proteobacteria bacterium partial 16S ribosomal RNA". It matches the Rfam family "Bacterial small subunit ribosomal RNA", at positions 355 to 776 of the family's 1533-position model. The record is from RNAcentral. Lineage: Bacteria; Pseudomonadati; Pseudomonadota.
UGGGGAAUAUUGGACAAUGGGCGAAAGCCUGAUCCAGCCAUGCCGCGGGUGUGAAGAAGGUCUUCGGAUUUUAAAGCACUUUAAGUUGGGAGGAAGGGCAGUAAGCGAAUACCUUGCUGUUUUGACGUUACCGACAGAAUAAGCACCGGCUAACUCUGUGCCAGCAGCCGCGGUAAUACAGAGGGUGCAAGCGUUAAUCGGAAUUACUGGGCGUAAAGCGCGCGUAGGUGGUUCGUUAAGUUGAAUGUGAAAGCCCCGGGCUCAACCUGGGAACUGCAUCCAAAACUGGCGAGCUAGAGUGGGGCAGAGGGUGGUGGAAUUUCCUGUGUAGCGGUGAAAUGCGUAGAUAUAGGAAGGAACACCAGUGGCGAAAGCGACCACCUGGGCUCAUACUGACACUGGGGUGCGAAAGCGUGGGGGGCAAAAAGG